AAUCACUACUAGGGGUGCCAUAUAGAAUUGGCUGAGAGAGCAGUAGCUUAACCCUCUAACUUGAUACAGUUCGCACUGUCGUAAGGAAGAAGUGACAUUUUUAG
Molecule: non-coding RNA, 104 nt
Filed under: Kurthia sp. 11kri321
Lineage: Bacteria; Bacillati; Bacillota; Bacilli; Caryophanales; Caryophanaceae
Also listed under: 1 other name
Description: TPP riboswitch aptamer (THI element)
Rfam family: TPP riboswitch aptamer (THI element)
About the family: Vitamin B(1) in its active form thiamin pyrophosphate (TPP) is an essential coenzyme that is synthesised by coupling of pyrimidine and thiazole moieties in bacteria.
Source: Rfam by way of RNAcentral